UUUAUUGGAGAGUUUGAUCCUGGCUCAGGAUGAACGCUGGCGGCGUGCCUAAUACAUGCAAGUCGAGCGAAUGGAUUGAGAGCUUGCUCUCAAGAAGUUAGCGGCGGACGGGUGAGUAACACGUGGGUAACCUGCCCAUAAGACUGGGAUAACUCCGGGAAACCGGGGCUAAUACCGGAUAACAUUUUGAACUACAUGGUUCGAAAUUGAAAGGCGGCUUCGGCUGUCACUUAUGGAUGGACCCGCGUCGCAUUAGCUAGUUGGUGAGGUAACGGCUCACCAAGGCAACGAUGCGUAGCCGACCUGAGAGGG
RNAcentral lists this ribosomal RNA (312 nucleotides) under Bacillus sp. CH126_4D. Its description in RNAcentral is "bacterial SSU rRNA". It matches the Rfam family "Bacterial small subunit ribosomal RNA", at positions 1 to 300 of the family's 1533-position model. Lineage: Bacteria; Bacillati; Bacillota; Bacilli; Caryophanales; Bacillaceae. The record is from RNAcentral.